RNAcentral lists this ribosomal RNA (170 nucleotides) under uncultured Aeromonas sp. Its description in RNAcentral is "partial 16S ribosomal RNA". It matches the Rfam family "Bacterial small subunit ribosomal RNA", at positions 356 to 528 of the family's 1533-position model. The record is from RNAcentral. Lineage: Bacteria; Pseudomonadati; Pseudomonadota; Gammaproteobacteria; Aeromonadales; Aeromonadaceae.
GGGGAUGCAUGGGGGACCUGAUGCAGCCAUGCCGCGUGUGUGAAGAAGGCCUUCGGGUUGUAAAGCACUUUCAGCGAGGAGGAAAGGUUGAUACCUAAUACGUGUCAACUGUGACGUUACUCGCAGAAGAAGCACCGGCUAACUCCGUGCCAGCAGCCGCGGUAAUACGA